Molecule: transfer RNA, 81 nt
Filed under: Candidatus Taylorbacteria bacterium RIFCSPHIGHO2_01_FULL_46_22b
Lineage: Bacteria; Candidatus Tayloriibacteriota
Description: tRNA-Leu
Rfam family: tRNA
About the family: Transfer RNA (tRNA) molecules are approximately 80 nucleotides in length. Their secondary structure includes four short double-helical elements and three loops (D, anti-codon, and T loops). Further hydrogen bonds mediate the characteristic L-shaped molecular structure. tRNAs have two regions of fundamental functional importance: the anti-codon, which is responsible for specific mRNA codon recognition, and the 3' end, to which the tRNAs corresponding amino acid is attached (by aminoacyl-tRNA synthetases). tRNAs cope with the degeneracy of the genetic code in two manners: having more than one tRNA (with a specific anti-codon) for a particular amino acid; and 'wobble' base-pairing, i.e. permitting non-standard base-pairing at the 3rd anti-codon position.
Source: RNAcentral
GCCCGGGUGGCGUAAUGGCAGCCGCAUCCGACUUAAGAUCGGAUUCCGUAAGGAGUGUGGGUUCAAGUCCCACCCCGGGCA